RNAcentral lists this ribosomal RNA (425 nucleotides) under uncultured Acidobacterium sp. RNAcentral describes it as "bacterial SSU rRNA". It matches the Rfam family "Bacterial small subunit ribosomal RNA", at positions 959 to 1385 of the family's 1533-position model. The record is from RNAcentral. Lineage: Bacteria; Pseudomonadati; Acidobacteriota; Terriglobia; Terriglobales; Acidobacteriaceae.
ACGCGAAGAACCUUACCCAGGCUUGAACAGCGAGUGACCAGCGACGAAAGUCGCCUUCCGCAAGGACACUCGUAGAGGUGCUGCAUGGCUGUCGUCAGCUCGUGUCGUGAGAUGUUGGGUUAAGUCCCGCAACGAGCGCAACCCUUGUCCUCUGUUGCCAUCACGUAAUGGUGGGCACUCUGGGGAGACUGCCGGUGAUAAACCGGAGGAAGGUGGGGAUGACGUCAAGUCAGCAUGGCCUUUAUGUCUGGGGCUACACACGUGCUACAAUGGCCGGUACAAAGCGUCGCGAGCCCGCGAGGGGGAGCUAAUCGCAGAAAGCCGGUCUCAGUUCGGAUCGUAGGCUGCAACUCGCCUGCGUGAAGUCGGAAUCGCUAGUAAUCGCGGAUCAGCACGCCGCGGUGAAUACGUUCCCGGGCCUUGUA